CGCCAGCAACGCUGGCGGUAUGCUUAACACAUGCAAGUCGAACGGUCUCUUCGGAGAUAGUGGCGGACGGGUUAGUAACGCGUGAGAAUCUAGCUUCAGGUCGGGGACAACCCCUGGAAACGGUGGCUAAUACCGGAUGUGCCGAAAGGUGAAAGAUUUAUUGCCUGAAGAUGAGCUCGCGUCUGAUUAGCUAGUUGGUGUGGUAAGAGCGCACCAAGGCGACGAUCAGUAGCUGGUCUGAGAGGAUGAUCAGCCACACUGGGACUGAGACACGGCCCAGACUCCUACGGGGAGGCAGCAGUGGGGAAUUUUCCGCAAUGGGCGAAAGCCUGACGGAGCAAUACCGGCGUGAGGGAGGAAGGCUCUUGGGUUGUAAACCCUCUUUUCUCAGGGAAUAAAUAAAAUGAAGGUACCUGAGGAAUAAGCAUCGGCUAAUCUCCGUGCCAGCAGCCGCGGUAAUACGGAGGAUGCAAAGCGUUAUCCGGAAUGAUUGGGCGUAAAGCGUCCGCAAGGUGAGCACUGUAAGUCUGCUGUUAAAGAGCAAGGCUCAACCUUGUAAAGGCAGUGGAAACUACUGAGCUAGAGUACCGUUCGGGGCAGAGGGAAUUCCUGGUGUAGCGGUGAAAUGCGUAGAGAUCAGGAAGAACACCGGUGGCGAAAGCGCUCUGCUAGGCCGUAACUGACACUGAGGAGACGAACAGCUAGGGGGAGCGAAUGGGAUUAGAUACCCCAGUAGCCUAGCCCGCAAAACGAUGGGAUACUAGGCGUGGU
This 771-nucleotide ribosomal RNA is filed under the name Nostoc sp. Ind40. RNAcentral describes it as "bacterial SSU rRNA". It matches the Rfam family "Bacterial small subunit ribosomal RNA", at positions 22 to 826 of the family's 1533-position model. The record is from RNAcentral. Lineage: Bacteria; Bacillati; Cyanobacteriota; Cyanophyceae; Nostocales; Nostocaceae.